GGAAACAGCACCGCAACCUUUAUGCGCUUUCAUCAAGCCCUCUUACUUUUGUCUCCAGGCUGCUUGUUCAGAAUGGCCGCACUCUGAAGUUUAAGGCAUGGUCGAAAUCACAAAUCAGCAAGGAGCCGUCCUUGCCUUUGUGUCUCUGGCCACACUCGGGUUAGUGUCUGCCAUCUGCUUGGGCUGCAGAAAAAAAUCCAUGACCAGGCCUAACCAGAUAACCUCAGAUCAGUCUCCGAGCUUCGGGAACACAGGUCAUGCGUCUCACAUCCAACCACAGGCAGCAGUUCAGGACACUCACAGCAGUUACCAGAACCUUCCCAACUGUAAGUCUAUAUUUCAGUUUUCUUCCAAUUAACUAAAAAAAAUACAUCUGCAGAUUUUCCAUUUAUUAAUUGAAAAGUUACUUUAUUUCAGUAAUUCUUUUCCAAAUCUGAAACUUAUCUAUUAUAUAGAUUUGUAUAGGCUAUUCUAAGUGUUUUUUCCUUUUAUUGUUGAUGAUUAUGGCUUACAGCCAAUCAAAACCUAAAAUUAUCUCAUGAAGAGAGAGUCAUCUGCUGGUGUUGAUCCACUGUGUUUUAUUAUCAAGUCUAAGGUCAGUGCAGAGUUUUCCCACAAAAUCUUACAGCACUUCAUGCUUACCUCUGCUGACAACUUUUAUAAAGAUGGAGAUUUCAUUUUCCAGCAGGACUUGGCACACUGCCUAAAGUACCAAUUGGUCUUUUCCCCAGCUGACACACAACCGACCUUCAACAUUAUAAUGUGGUUGAAAUGUGGUUAAAGUAAUGUUUGUUGUUGUUUCAAUGUUAAAACAAAGUUUAAUGUUAAAUGGUUGUGCAAACAUUGAAAUGUUAUUGUUGAAUCAAUAUAAUGUCCUCAACCUUCUGCCAUUAAAUUACCAUUUUAUUUAUUCAUGGAGGAAU
RNAcentral lists this long non-coding RNA (923 nucleotides) under Astyanax mexicanus (Mexican tetra). RNAcentral describes it as "lncRNA (ENSAMXG00005013892.1)". The record is from RNAcentral. Lineage: Eukaryota; Metazoa; Chordata; Actinopteri; Characiformes; Acestrorhamphidae.